This 253-nucleotide ribosomal RNA is filed under the name uncultured bacterium. RNAcentral describes it as "partial 16S ribosomal RNA". It matches the Rfam family "Bacterial small subunit ribosomal RNA", at positions 524 to 776 of the family's 1533-position model. The record is from RNAcentral.
UACGUAGGUGGCGAGCGUUGUCCGGAUUUACUGGGCGUAAAGGGCGCGUAGGCGGCCGUCCAAGUCGGGUGUGAAAUCCCUCGGCUCAACCGAGGAACUGCACUCGAUACUGGUCGGCUAGAGUCCGGGAGGGGAUGGUGGAAUUCCCAGUGUAGCGGUGAAAUGCGUAGAUAUUGGGAAGAACACCGGUGGCGAAGGCGGCCAUCUGGACCGGAACUGACGCUGAGGCGCGAAAGCCAGGGGAGCGAAUGGG